RNAcentral lists this ribosomal RNA (253 nucleotides) under uncultured bacterium. RNAcentral's name for it is "partial 16S ribosomal RNA". It matches the Rfam family "Bacterial small subunit ribosomal RNA", at positions 524 to 776 of the family's 1533-position model. The record is from RNAcentral.
UACGGGGGGAGCAAGCGUUGUUCGGAUUUACUGGGCGUAAAGAGCUCGUAGGUGGUUUGUCGCGUUGUCCGUGAAAACUCACAACUCAAUUGUGGGCGUGCGGGCGAUACGGGCAGACUGGAGUACUGCAGGGGAGACUGGAAUUCCUGGUGUAGCGGUGGAAUGCGCAGAUAUCAGGAGGAACACCGGUGGCGAAGGCGGCCAGCUGGGCCAUUGCUGACGCUGAUGCGCGACAGCGUGGGGAGCAAACAGG